GGAUCCUAUAUAUCAUCUUUACCAGACCACCAUAUCUCAUAACCUCACUUUUCACAAACCCUACAUACCAUUUCCUAAAUCUGCUUCUUCGUUUUUCAGAGAUUCAUCGUCCUUAGAUGAGAUUCAUAAGGACGACAAUGUUUUGAUGCUUUCUUCAUCUUCAUGGUUUGCUUGUGGUCUUUCGUAUCCGUCAAAACCCUAAUCGACCGGAGAAAUCGUCAAAAGUUCUUCACAAUAUGAUCGUUCCACAUAAUUUGCAGAUAUGCAUCCCUUGCACAACAGUCCUUCAUUUUUAAAGCUUAUUGAUGAAGAUGACCCGAUAUUUUUGGUGAAGAACUUCUUUCAGACUCCUUCCCCUACAAGGAACUAUUGAAUGAGUUCCUAUGAGAAGUUGAAGAAAAGUUAUGGAUAAUGAAAACAACGCUCCUUCGUUAUUAAAGUCGAUUGAGGACUAUGAACCUAUAUUUUUCGAAUUGUUCGUCGACCAAAAACAGGUGUUUAUUUUGGAUGGUCCGGAGUUUUUGGCUGCAACUAUGUUGGACAAAGAUAUGCUUGCUAUUGCUGUAAAUUGGUACCAUGUCGGUUGGUUUUGCUUGGUAAGAUUUGUGACGAUGCGUCGGACAAACAACAUUGGGAAAAUAUACAGCCUUGAGCCUUGAUGACCAAUGUAUAUCUCUAUUUGAGGAAUUUUCCAAAGAUCCAGAGCCGAUUGUUUCAUAGAGCUGUGAAGUUGCGUUAAACAUACUGGAUUUUGAACGAUCCGACAAACCAUUCGAGGUACUUGGAAGAUUAAGUCUCUUAUCUGGGUGGUUGUUAGAGGUUUAGGAUGUUAAAUGAUUUUGGAUGUACUCUGCGAUGUCGAUGAUGCAGAGAUGUUGGUGAAGCUCAGGUUAACAACUUCAUGUGUAUAUUUUAAUGAAUAAAGUUUUUGUUGUUUAUAUUUUC
Molecule: long non-coding RNA, 945 nt
Organism: Helianthus annuus (common sunflower)
Lineage: Eukaryota; Viridiplantae; Streptophyta; Magnoliopsida; Asterales; Asteraceae
Exons: 10
Source: RefSeq, a predicted model, not a curated record